RNAcentral lists this non-coding RNA (30 nucleotides) under Rattus norvegicus (Norway rat). Lineage: Eukaryota; Metazoa; Chordata; Mammalia; Rodentia; Muridae. The record is from RNAcentral.
GCGUCUGGCGUGCCCCACCUAUACCCUUCC